GAUGAACGCUGGCGGCGUGCCUAAUACAUGCAAGUCGAGCGAACAGACGAGGAGCUUGCUCCUCUGACGUUAGCGGCGGACGGGUGAGUAACACGUGGAUAACCUACCUAUAAGACUGGGAUAACUUCGGGAAACCGGAGCUAAUACCGGAUAAUAUAUUGAACCGCAUGGUUCAAUAGUGAAAGACGGUUUUGCUGUCACUUAUAGAUGGAUCCGCGCCGCAUUAGCUAGUUGGUAAGGUAACGGCUUACCAAGGCAACGAUGCGUAGCCGACCUGAGAGGGUGAUCGGCCACACUGGAACUGAGACACGGUCCAGACUCCUACGGGAGGCAGCAGUAGGGAAUCUUCCGCAAUGGGCGAAAGCCUGACGGAGCAACGCCGCGUGAGUGAUGAAGUUCUUCGGAUCGUAAAACUCUGUUAUUAGGGAAGAACAAAUGUGUAAGUAACUAUGCACGUCUUGACGGUACCUAAUCAGAAAGCCACGGCUAACUACG
This 495-nucleotide ribosomal RNA is filed under the name uncultured bacterium. RNAcentral's name for it is "partial 16S ribosomal RNA". It matches the Rfam family "Bacterial small subunit ribosomal RNA", at positions 28 to 505 of the family's 1533-position model. The record is from RNAcentral.